Molecule: ribosomal RNA, 497 nt
Filed under: uncultured bacterium
Lineage: Bacteria
Description: partial 16S ribosomal RNA
Rfam family: Bacterial small subunit ribosomal RNA
Source: RNAcentral
GAUGAACGCUGGCGGCGUGCCUAAUACAUGCAAGUCGAGCGAACAGACGAGGAGCUUGCUCCUCUGACGUUAGCGGCGGACGGGUGAGUAACACGUGGAUAACCUACCUAUAAGACUGGGAUAACUUCGGGAAACCGGAGCUAAUACCGGAUAAUAUAUUGAACCGCAUGGUUCAAUAGUGAAAGACGGUUUUGCUGUCACUUAUAGAUGGAUCCGCGCCGCAUUAGCUAGUUGGUAAGGUAACGGCUUACCAAGGCAACGAUGCGUAGCCGACCUGAGAGGGUGAUCGGCCACACUGGAACUGAGACACGGUCCAGACUCCUACGGGAGGCACCAGUAGGGAAUCUUCCGCAAUGGGCGAAAGCUUGACGGAGCAACGCCGCGUGAGUGAUGAAGGUCUUCGGAUCGUAAAACUCUGUUAUUAGGGAAGAACAGAUGUGUAAGUAACUAUGCACGUCUUGACGGUACCUAAUCAGAAAGCCACGGCUAACUACGUG